UACGGAGGGUGCAAGCGUUAUCCGGAUUCACUGGGUUUAAAGGGUGCGUAGGCGGGCAGGGAAGUCAGUGGUGAAAUCUCCGGGCUUAACUCGGAAACUGCCGUUGAUACUCUCUGUCUUGAAUAUUGUGGAGGUGAGCGGAAUAUGUCAUGUAGCGGUGAAAUGCUUAGAUAUGACAUAGAACACCAAUUGCGAAGGCAGCUCGCUACACAUAUAUUGACGCUGAGGCACGAAAGCGUGGGGAUCAAACAGGAUUAGAUACCCCCGUAGUCC
Molecule: ribosomal RNA, 273 nt
Filed under: uncultured bacterium
Lineage: Bacteria
Description: partial 16S ribosomal RNA
Rfam family: Bacterial small subunit ribosomal RNA
Source: RNAcentral